AUGUGGUGUAUAGCGAUGCUUUGCAUGUUCUUUAAACCUUUCCCACACCUUAUACAAAGACUCAUCAUCCAUCUGUUGAAAAUAGUGAUCUCAUUCCUCAACUU
This is a non-coding RNA of Gossypium raimondii (Peruvian cotton), 104 nucleotides long. NCBI's taxonomy places the organism in Eukaryota, Viridiplantae, Streptophyta, Magnoliopsida, Malvales, Malvaceae. The record is from Rfam.